GCGUGGGUCUAAUAAGCCCAAGGUCGCAGGUUCGACCCCUGCUGGCGGCA
RNAcentral lists this transfer RNA (50 nucleotides) under Necator americanus (New World hookworm). It matches the Rfam family "tRNA", at positions 23 to 71 of the family's 71-position model. From Rfam's summary of the family: Transfer RNA (tRNA) molecules are approximately 80 nucleotides in length. Their secondary structure includes four short double-helical elements and three loops (D, anti-codon, and T loops). Lineage: Eukaryota; Metazoa; Nematoda; Chromadorea; Rhabditida; Ancylostomatidae. The record is from Rfam by way of RNAcentral.